UACGUAGGUGACCAGCGUUGUCCGGAUUUACUGGGCGUAAAGAGCGCGCAGGCGGUCGUUCAAGUCGAGUGUGAAAGCCCCCGGCUCAACUGGGGAGGGUCACUCGAUACUGAUCGACUGGAAGGCAGGAGAGGGUAGUGGAAUUCCCGGUGUAGUGGUGAAAUGCGUAGAUAUCGGGAGGAACACCAGUGGCGAAGGCGACUACCUGGCCUGUUUCUUGACGCUGAGGCGCGAAAGCUAGGGGAGCAAACGGG
RNAcentral lists this ribosomal RNA (254 nucleotides) under uncultured bacterium. RNAcentral's name for it is "partial 16S ribosomal RNA". It matches the Rfam family "Bacterial small subunit ribosomal RNA", at positions 524 to 776 of the family's 1533-position model. The record is from RNAcentral.